RNAcentral lists this long non-coding RNA (248 nucleotides) under Hordeum vulgare. RNAcentral's name for it is "long non-coding RNA (HVUL_LNC009936)". The record is from RNAcentral. Lineage: Eukaryota; Viridiplantae; Streptophyta; Magnoliopsida; Poales; Poaceae.
CGGAAGAGACCUAUGUCUUCCCAAUUGAUGAGGACAACUAUGAUGAUUCUUUAGCAAAGCACCGACAAGAUAGUGUGGUUGAUUCCAUGCUACCAACUCGUGCGAGCAGCCGGAAAAGAGAGGUAUCUUCAUUAUUGAGCAAUGAAGAUUAUGUUCUGUACGAUAGUAAUAAGAAGAGAAAGAAAUAUAGGACUCCACCGAAGUUUACCAACGAUUCCAAGGACAAAAAGAAUACAAAGAGGAAAAAC